GGUUCGAGAGUUAGGCAGGACCAGUUUGCGGUUGUCAAGUGAUACUAGAUUUAAAGGCCGCGGUAUUUUGACCGUGCAAAGGUAGCGCAAUCACUUGUCUUUUAAAUAAAGACCUGUAUGAAUGGCUAAACGAGGGCCUAACUGUCUCCCUUUUCAAGUCAGUGAAAUUGAUCUGCCCGUGCAGAAGCGGACAUAACCAUACAAGACGAGAAGACCCUAUGGAGCUUAAGGCAUAAAAUUCAACCACGUCAAACAACUCUAUAAAAAGCCACCAAACCUUGUGGUAAAUGAAACCGUGCCUUCGGUUGGGGCGACCAUGGAGGAAAGAAAAGCCUCCAAGUGGGCUGGGAUUACAUUCCUAAAACCAAGAAAGACAUUUCUAAGCCACAGAACAUCUGACCAAUAAUGAUCCGGCCCAUGUGGCCGAUCAACGAACCAAGUUACCCAAGGGAUAACAGCGCAAUCCUCUCCCAGAGUCCAUAUCGACGAGGGGGUUUACGACCUCGAUGUUGGAUCAGGACAUCCUAAUGGUGCAGCCGCUAUUAAGGGUUCGUUUGUUCAACGAUUAAAGUCCUACGUGAUCUGAUUUCAGACCAGGAUCUUCGCCUGUUUUAUCAAAAACAUAUACGUGAUCUGUAGUUCAAGAGCAGGAGCCG
Molecule: ribosomal RNA, 656 nt
Filed under: Puntius parrah (Parrah barb)
Lineage: Eukaryota; Metazoa; Chordata; Actinopteri; Cypriniformes; Cyprinidae
Description: partial large subunit ribosomal RNA
Rfam family: Bacterial large subunit ribosomal RNA
Source: RNAcentral